Molecule: ribosomal RNA, 446 nt
Filed under: uncultured soil bacterium
Lineage: Bacteria
Description: bacterial SSU rRNA
Rfam family: Bacterial small subunit ribosomal RNA
Source: RNAcentral
AGAACGAACGCUGGCGGCAUGCCUAACACAUGCAAGUCGAACGAGACCUUCGGGUCUAGUGGCGCACGGGUGCGUAACGCGUGGGAACCUGCCCUGAGGUUCGGAAUAACAGUUAGAAGUGACUGCUAAUACCGGAUAAUGUCUUCGGACCAAAGAUUUAUCGCCUUUGGAUGGGCCCGCGUUGGAUUAGCUAGUUGGUGGGGUAAAGGCCUACCAAGGCGACGAUCCAUAGCUGGUCUGAGAGGAUGAUCAGCCACACUGGGACUGAGACACGGCCCAGACUCCUACGGGAGGCAGCAGUGGGGAAUAUUGGACAAUGGGCGAAAGCCUGAUCCAGCAAUGCCGCGUGAGUGAUGAAGGCCUUAGGUUGUAAAGCUCUUUUACUGGGGAUGGAUAAUGACAGUACCCAGAGAAUAAGCUCCGGCUAACUCCGUGCCAGCAGCCGC